This 253-nucleotide ribosomal RNA is filed under the name uncultured bacterium. RNAcentral describes it as "partial 16S ribosomal RNA". It matches the Rfam family "Bacterial small subunit ribosomal RNA", at positions 524 to 776 of the family's 1533-position model. The record is from RNAcentral.
UACGUAGGGUGCGAGCGUUGUCCGGAAUUACUGGGCGUAAAGGGCUCGUAGGCGGCCAACUAAGUCAGACGUGAAAUCCCUCGGCUUAACCGGGGAACUGCGUCUGAUACUGGAUGGCUAGAGGUUGGGAGAGGGAUGCGGAAUUCCAGGUGUAGCGGUGAAAUGCGUAGAUAUCAGGAGGAACACCGGUGGCGAAGGCGGAUCUCUGGGCCUUACCUGACGCUCAGGUGCGAAAGCUAGGGGAGCGAACAGG